ACGUCCGACCUCUGUUUCGUUCCAUCCACAGAUGAUGUGGCGGAAAACCCACCAACACAGGACUGUGCCCUGAUUCUCCACCGAGUUGGAACCCUUUUAUGUAGUACAACAGAGCAAGCAAAAAACAAUAACAGCAACAAACAAAGCCUUGCAGGGACAGUGUCUGUGGAUGGCUUUGGCCAAUAGGAUGAUCAGGGACACCAGGAGACCCAGAAGCAGCAUGGAGCCCAAAGUGAUGACAAAAGGCACAUACCAGGCCGAUGGAGAAUACACGUUCUUCCUCAGGAUCCGUCGCUGCCAUGAGCAAGGUGACUCCUGGAACCCACCAGGUCAGUGGUUCUCCAAGGGCAGAAUGCGUCAGAAUCACCUGGGAAGUUUGUGGUCCAAUUCAGCAUUCCGAUGCAGAGUCUAGGAAUCUGCGUUUUUGAAGCAUCCUAGCGUCCUGCCUGAUGCCACCGUCUGGGCUGCAUCGCACACCCCAGUGUGUCUUACCUGUUGCCAAGUUGCCUUGAAACUCAGGCGGCUCAUUCACAUCUGUUACCUGGACCGUCAGGACCUGCAGAUGCUGCACUUCCCUGGGAUUGCUGUUAAGUUACGUCUUGACUCAUCAUUCCCCUGUAAGUUUCCCAAGGCCACAUCUAAGAAUAAACAAGAGAAGGAUACAUCUGCAGAAAUAAGAAAUGAUAUUUACUUACACCAACAGGCUCUUUGGGUUUUUGGUACAUUUCCACACAUUCUUCCACUGUCAGAAAUGUGUCCUGUGCAAGACAAGUGUUUUGGAGUGGAGAUGUGGAAGGGGCACCAAGCACCAGGGCCAGAGACAUAUCACCAGAAUCUAGACUGUUGCCAGCAGGAACCCCUGUGGUCCAUGGUAGAAGGGCCCUGCUGAGGUUAACUGGAGGCCAGUCUGUGACCUUGCACAUCUAUAUGCACAUCCCUGCCACCAGCUUAGCCUGUGGAGCUCCCAGAAGGCCCAGAGCCCUUUGAGAUAUCAAGGACUAAAUUUCAUAAAUAUCUUAAUUUAUGCUCAUAGAAGAACCUUUUGGUUAUUAAUACAACUGGGGCCAGGCAGGGAGGCAUUCAGUAUCCUCUACUGAGAAAAGCACUUCGCUCCUAUCCAGUUUCCACCACUGGACUUCUUUGUGACCUUGGGAAAGUUACCUGACCUUUCCCUGAUUUUGUUUCCACACGACUAUCAUUAGGUAAAUAAUUCUCGCCCUAGUUAAACAACUGAAGUAUAAUACAAGGUAUUAUAACAAAGAGCUAGACCACGGUACUAUGGAAAAUCAUGGGGAAAAAAGUUCGUUGUGAGAUGUGUUUAGUCAAGGAGGACUUCAUGGAGGAGGUGGUGGGCAUUGUGUUUGACUUUGUACGAUCUGGAUUGAUUAUGAGAGGAGAGGAUGGCCACAGAUGUGAAUGAGCACAUGCAGUGGAGGGGGCACGUAUGGAGGAGGGUUGAGAGGGGAAAACACAGUAAUCUUGUCACCACCAAUGAACAGGGUCAGCCUGGGCUCCACACAAGUGGAGAUGACCUGUCUCUCUGCUUGGCACAUGGGAGGUGAGAGGCAGCAUAACAUAGGAGUCAAGAGUGUAGACUCUGGAGCCAGACUGACUGGCUUCAAAGCUCAGCCUUCCCAUUACUUAACCUUUCCGUGCCUCAAUUUUACCAUCUGUAAAGUGGGGAUACUAAUGGCAUCUGCUUUCUGCAGUUGCUGGGAGGACUCCAUGAGCUAAUCCAUGGAAUACUUUGAUCCCUGUCUGGUGCUGAGCGAGCACCCAGCAAAUGCUGAGUUUUAUUAUCAUUAGAUGUCAAAAACUGUUCAGUGAAUGUGUAUCCACCAGAGCUGCCCCCGUCACAACGGUCCUCUGUGCUUCCUGAUUUACACCCUAGCUUCCAGCUACCUAAGCCUGGAGUCCUCUCCUGAACUCCAUGCUUGCAGAUCCUUCACCCCAAUGUUACCUAUUGACAGCCUUUCUCCUUGGGGCCUGGCUCUAACACCCUAGAGGAAGAAAAUAGAACAGUCAAAAAAAGGUCUAGGGCUUCCCUGGUGGCA
This is a long non-coding RNA of Aethalodelphis obliquidens (Pacific white-sided dolphin), 2054 nucleotides long. RefSeq lists it as uncharacterized. The record is from RefSeq and is a predicted model, not a curated record. The transcript is spliced from 6 exons. Lineage: Eukaryota; Metazoa; Chordata; Mammalia; Artiodactyla; Delphinidae.